Molecule: ribosomal RNA, 770 nt
Filed under: uncultured bacterium
Lineage: Bacteria
Description: bacterial SSU rRNA
Rfam family: Bacterial small subunit ribosomal RNA
Source: RNAcentral
GAACGCUGGCGGUGUGCUUAACACAUGCAAGUCAACGAGAAUUUAUCUUCGGAUAAUAGUAAAGUGGCGAACGGGUGAGUAACGCGUAAAUAACUUGCCUCAAAGAUUGGGACAACAUUGGGAAACCAGUGCUAAUACCAAAUAAUGCAGCGGGCCCUUCGGGGUAAUAGUUGUUAAAGUAGGCUUCGGCUUACACUUUGAGAUAGAUUUGCGUCCGAUUAGUUAGUUGGUAGGGUAAUAGCCUACCAAGACCAAGAUCGGUAGCUGGUCUGAGAGGAUGAUCAGCCACACUGGAAUUGAGAUACGGUCCAGACUCCUACGGGAGGCAGCAGUGAGGAAUUUUGCACAAUGGGCGAAAGCCUGAUGCAGCAACACCGCGUGAUUGAUGAAGUUUUUAGGAAUGUAAAAAUCUGUCGUAAGGGAAGAAAUGUUUCAGAUGUUAAUACCAUCUGUCAUUGACGGUACCUUACAAGAAAGGACCGGCUAACUUCGUGCCAGCAGCCGCGGUAAUACGAGGGGUCCUAGCGUUGUCCGGAUUUACUGGGCGUAAAGGGUACGUAGGCGUUUUAAUAAGUUGUAUGUUAAAUAUCUUAGCUUAACUAAGAAAGUGCAUACAAAACUGUUAAGAUAGAGUUUGAGAGAGGAACGCAGAAUUCAUGGUGGAGCGGUGACAUGCGUAGAUAUCAUGAGGAAAGUCAAAUGCGAAGGCAGCCUUCUGGCUCAAAACUGACGCUGAGGUACGAAAGCGUGGGGAGCGAACAGGAUUAGAU